Molecule: ribosomal RNA, 467 nt
Filed under: uncultured bacterium
Lineage: Bacteria
Description: partial 16S ribosomal RNA
Rfam family: Bacterial small subunit ribosomal RNA
Source: RNAcentral
GACGAACGCUGGCGGCGUGCUUAACACAUGCAAGUCGAACGGAAAGGCUCCAGCUUGCUGGCGUACUCGAGUGGCGAACGGGUGAGUAACACGUGGGUAAUCUGCCCUGCACUCUGGGAUAAGCCUGGGAAACUGGGUCUAAUACUGGAUAUGACCUUUCUCCUUAUGGGGUUUGGUGUAAAGUUUUUCGGUGUAGGAUUAGCCCGCGGCCUAUCAGCUUGUUGGUGGGGUGAUGGCUUACCAAGGCGACGACGGGUAGCCGGCCUGAGAGGGUGAUCGGCCACAUUGGGACUGAGAUACGGCCCAGACUCCUACGGGAGGCAGCAGUGGGGAAUAUUGCACAAUGGGCGGAAGCCUGAUGCAGCGACGCCGCGUGAGGGAUGACGGCCUUCGGGUUGUAAACCUCUUUCAGCAGGGACGAAGCGUAAGUGACGGUACCUGCAGAAGAAGCACCGGCUAACUAUGUG